AUGCAGUCGAGCGGACAGAAGGGAGCUUGCUCCCGGAUGUUAGCGGCGGACGGGUGAGUAACACGUGGGUAACCUGCCUGUAAGACUGGGAUAACUCCGGGAAACCGGAGCUAAUACCGGAUAGUUCCUUGAACCGCAUGGUUCAAGGAUGAAAGACGGUUUCGGCUGUCACUUACAGAUGGACCCGCGGCGCAUUAGCUAGUUGGUGGGGUAAUGGCUCACCAAAGGCGACGAUGCGUAGCCGACCUGAGAGGGUGAUCGGCCACACUGGGACUGAGACACGGCCCAGACUCCUACGGGAGGCAGCAGUAGGGAAUCUUCCGCAAUGGACGAAAGUCUGACGGAGCAACGCCGCGUGAGUGAUGAAGGUUUUCGGAUCGUAAAGCUCUGUUGUUAGGGAAGAACAAGUACGAGAGUAACUGCUCGUACCUUGACGGUACCUAACCAGAAAGCCACGGCUAACUACGUGC
This 470-nucleotide ribosomal RNA is filed under the name Bacillus sp. (in: firmicutes). RNAcentral describes it as "bacterial SSU rRNA". It matches the Rfam family "Bacterial small subunit ribosomal RNA", at positions 55 to 508 of the family's 1533-position model. The record is from RNAcentral. Lineage: Bacteria; Bacillati; Bacillota; Bacilli; Caryophanales; Bacillaceae.